RNAcentral lists this ribosomal RNA (253 nucleotides) under uncultured bacterium. Its description in RNAcentral is "partial 16S ribosomal RNA". It matches the Rfam family "Bacterial small subunit ribosomal RNA", at positions 524 to 776 of the family's 1533-position model. The record is from RNAcentral.
UACGUAGGUGGCAAGCGUUGUCCGGAUUUACUGGGCGUAAAGCGUGCGCAGGCGGUGAUGUAAGUCAGGUGUGAAAUCCCCGGGCUUAACCUGGGAACUGCAUUUGCGACUGCAUCGCUGGAGUGCGGCAGAGGGGGAUGGAAUUCCGCGUGUAGCAGUGAAAUGCGUAGAUAUGCGGAGGAACACCGAUGGCGAAGGCAAUCCCCUGGGCCUGCACUGACGCUCAUGCACGAAAGCGUGGGGAGCAAACAGG